GACGAACGCUGGCGGCGUGCCUAAUACAUGCAAGUAGAACGCUGAAGAGAGGAGCUUACUCUUCUUGCAUUAGUUGCGAACGGGUGAGUAACGCGUAGGUAACCUGCCUUUUAGCGGGGGAUAACUAUUGGAAACGAUAGCUAAUACCGCAUAACAAUGUAUGCCACAUGUCUUUUUUUUGAAAGGCGCAAUUGCUCUCCUUCAUGAUUGACUUGCGUUGUAUUAGCGUGUAGGUUAGGUAAUGGCUCACCUAGGCGACGAUACCGAACCGACCUUAGAGGGUGAAUGGGCAAACUGGGAAUGAGACAACGCUCAGACUCCUAAGGGAGGGAGCAGUAGGGAAUCUUCGGGAAAGGGGGGAACGCUGGCCGAGCAACGCCGCGUGAGUGAAGAAGGGUUUCGGAACGUAAAGAUCUGUUGUAAGGGGAGAACGGGUGUGGGAGUGGAAAGUGCACACUGUGACGGUAGCUUACCAGAAAGGGACGGCUAACUACGUG
This 497-nucleotide ribosomal RNA is filed under the name uncultured bacterium. Its description in RNAcentral is "partial 16S ribosomal RNA". It matches the Rfam family "Bacterial small subunit ribosomal RNA", at positions 28 to 507 of the family's 1533-position model. The record is from RNAcentral.